RNAcentral lists this transfer RNA (71 nucleotides) under Nanobdellota archaeon. RNAcentral describes it as "tRNA-Trp". It matches the Rfam family "tRNA". Rfam says of the family: Transfer RNA (tRNA) molecules are approximately 80 nucleotides in length. Their secondary structure includes four short double-helical elements and three loops (D, anti-codon, and T loops). The record is from RNAcentral. Lineage: Archaea; Nanobdellati; Nanobdellota.
GGGUCUGUAGUUAAAUGGUAUAAUUUCUGCCUCCAGAGCAGAAGUUGGGGGUUCGAUUCCCUCCAGGCCCA